Molecule: ribosomal RNA, 641 nt
Filed under: Glycomyces sp. I15A-00824
Lineage: Bacteria; Bacillati; Actinomycetota; Actinomycetes; Glycomycetales; Glycomycetaceae
Description: bacterial SSU rRNA
Rfam family: Bacterial small subunit ribosomal RNA
Source: RNAcentral
AACGGGUGAGUAACACGUGGGUAACCUGCCCCCAUCUCUGGGAUAACCGUUGGAAACGGCGGCUAAUACCGGAUACGACCUGGUUCCGCAUGGUGCUGGGUGGAAAGUUUUUGCGGUUGGGGAGGGGCCCGCGGCCUAUCAGCUUGUUGGUGCGGUAGUGGCGCACCAAGGCGAUGACGGGUAGCCGGCCUGAGAGGGCGGUCGGUCACAUUGGGACUGAGAUACGGCCCAGACUCCUACGGGAGGCAGCAGUGGGGAAUUUUGCACAAUGGGCGAAAGCCUGAUGCAGCGACGCCGCGUGAGGGAUGACGGCUUUCGGGUUGUAAACCUCUUUUAUCCACCACGAAGGCGGUGUAUUCGCACCGUUGACGGUAGUGGUUGAAUAAGCGCCGGCUAACUACGUGCCAGCAGCCGCGGUAAGACGUAGGGCGCGAGCGUUGUCCGGAUUUAUUGGGCGUAAAGGGCUCGUAGGCGGUUGAUUGCGUCCGCCGUGAAAGGCCUCGGCUUAACCGGGGUUUUGCGGUGGAUACGGGUCGACUUGAGGCAAUUAGGGGAGAUCGGAAUUCUACGUGUAGCGGUGAAAUGCGCAGAUAUGUGGAGGAACACCGGUGGCGAAGGCGGAUCUCUGGGAUUGUUCUGAC